This 200-nucleotide ribosomal RNA is filed under the name uncultured bacterium. RNAcentral describes it as "partial 16S ribosomal RNA". It matches the Rfam family "Bacterial small subunit ribosomal RNA", at positions 29 to 224 of the family's 1533-position model. The record is from RNAcentral.
AGUGAACGCUGGCGGUGGGCCUAACGCAUGCAAGUCGAACGGCAGCACAGGAGAGCUUGCUCUCUGGGUGGCGAGUGGCGGACGGGUGAGGAAUACAUCGGAAUCUACUUUUUCGUGGGGGAUAACGUAGGGAAACUUACGCUAAUACCGCAUACGACCUACGGGUGAAAGCCGGGGACCUUCGGGCCUGGCGCGGAUAA